CACAAACUGGAGUCAUGUCACCGCAGGACAGGGGUACGGGGUGAAUCAUUUAUCUGAUCUGUGGCCUUGGUCAGUCAUCUGACACAACAUCAUACCCUCUUGACCAGUCACCUUUCACCAAUAAUCAGAACGAGGGAAUUGAGAAAGACGUGGUAUUAAGCAAGCAGUCAUUCUGUGACCUUCAGUCCCACUGAGGCGGCUGCAGAAAUGCUCGUCACCAGCCUUUUACCAUCUGACACUGACAGCGACUCAGAUGUGAGGGACUGUGUGCUCCAUCCAGCACUCCUGCGGGGAAGACACUGAACAGUGUUCAAGAAGUGUCUGUCUCUACUCUUUGGAACCUCAUUUGAGCUACUUCUCUGUGACAAACAUUUAUUAUUUCUCUCAAAUCUGUGGUUGCCUGAUGGAUUUUCUGCAUCACCUGGCUUUGGCUGGAACGUUCAGGAGCUACAGGUUCAGCCAGCUCUACAGGCCUUCAGCCCUGACCCUGUGCGGGCUUCCUGUCUCCACGAGGCCUUUGGACCUCCUUAAGCUUCUCAGUACUCUUGGCAAAGAUGAGGGAGCUCAAGGCCCCACUGUGACCGACAUGCAGGGAAAAGACAAGAGCGCCCCAAUCGCUGAUUAGCAGGGAGAACUGAUUCUACCCAGAGGAGCUGAACGCCACCUGAAGCAUGUCAAACUGUUAGCCUGAAACCAAACUCUGCCCUGGGUGCAGCCUCUGCUUCCACCUGGGUAGCAAGAAGCUGCUGAUGGAAACAGCCUGCUGGACUCUUUUGGACAACAUAUGUCUCUUCUGCAAGAAAUCUCCUUUAAAAAGAAAAUCUGAAUGAAGAACAGCAUCAAAAGAGCUGUGAUGUUUUCAAAACAUGUCCGUAAAUUCUUUGACACUGCUCCCACCAACAGGGGACGUCUAAUUCCUCUCCCCUUGGACAUGGGCUAUCUGAGUGGCUUGCUUUCAAUGAACAGAAUGAGGUGGGAGUGAUACUGUGGGAAUUCCAAGGCCAGGUCACAAAAAACUAUAGUUUUUGAGAUCCUGCUUCUGGAAGCCAGCCACCAUGCCGUGAGGAAGCACAGGCCUCGCGAAGAAGCAACACGUAGGUGUUUUUGCCCAACAGCCCCAGCUGAGAUCUAACCAAUAGCCAACAUCAACUGCUAGACAUGUGAGAAAGCCUUUGAGAUGCCUCCAGUCCCAGCCACCACCUCAUGGCCAAUGCAUAAGAACCCUGAUUAGCUGAAGAACUGCCUAGCUGAGCCCAGUUAGUCCACAAAACCAUGAGAGAAAACAAUAAUAAAGAACUGUUGUCCUUUUGUACCACUAAGUUUGGGAUGACUUGUUACACAGCAGUAACUGGAACAAGAGCUCCCAAUUAAUUUGUCCUUUACAGUGAUUGUCUAAAGGUCUUCUUAUCUUCCAGAAAAAAAUAGUUCUGCUUAUGCUAGGAUGAGGGAUUGGGAACACAAGGGCUGCCAUUGACCAGACUGCCACAUAGGACCAAAAUGGACACAGGUGUCAUGGACUCUUUAGGCCUCACAGCUGCUGGGCUCACUUCCUGGAUGUGAAAAGGAGAGUAAUAGUCUCAGUAAGAAAUCUCCACGGCAGCUGAUGCUCAGUGGCCACGAGCAUCCUGUGCUGGGCACUGAAAGAACACGAGCAGCAGACGCUCUCAGCACAGUCCCUACCCUGCUGCUCUAGAAGUCCUCCGACUAAAAAAGGUCCCUCUGCUGCCACACCAGCUGAAGAUGUUGACUUCUAACUCUUUACCUGCAUCUACCUGUAAUUAUAAUUUGCAGGGCUUUGAAAUCCUGUCCUAUUUAAUCUCCCCAAAUUACUUUAAGUCCCUAAUUAGGCAAGCCUAAAAUUCAGUUAGGUGAGGCUAAUACGCUCCAAAACAGUGCAGAAGAAGCUCUCAAGAUCCAAAAAGCAACGGUGAAAGUGAAGCAAGCAAACCCAAAGGGACCUGUAACGAGGGAGGCAGGAGUGGGUGGGAAGUGGCUGUGCAAGCAGCGGCGGGGCCUCCCGACUUGUUUCUGAAGCUAUGAACUGGCCCUGCUGCUCAGGAGGCCGACUCCAGCAUCCCAGAGAGGCACCUCCCGCCAAAUGUUCUCACCACACUCAGAAAGGAACUCGCCACUGAGCUGGCAAGUUACUGCCAUGCUCUCCCUUCACUCCUCUCCGGGGCACCAUCUCAGAACAGCUGAGACCCAAUCCAGGCUACACCACCAAGAAACACCAGCAAAUUAAAUCAGAUAAGUCAACAAUGGGCAAAUCCACAUGGGAGGGGCGAAGGGACUCUGUCUACGUGCUCCAUGCCCCAUCCUGCUUUUGGGAGAAGCUCUCAUACUCUGGUCACAUUGCAACAGGAGGAACACGUUCUCUCAGUUUGCCCAGGGCAGGGCCCCUUUUACCUUCAGAAGUGUUCUGAUUUGGAUGAUAUAUUAUAGGAUCACUUUACCUAAGGGCAAAUUUAAACCAAAGAGGUAAAUUACACUUUUCUCUAUUGACCCUCAGGCCCCUUAUCCAAGGGGCUUCUUUUUAUCUUUCCACUUGUGCUCGUGACUCCUUCUCCCUGAACUACCUACGUGAUUCUACCCUUUUUACACCGGUACAAAGCCCCUUUCUCCUUUAAGCCUCAGCUCAAGCACCACCUCCUUCAGGAAGCCCUCUCAGUAUCCCCUAACCUCCACAGAUCUCUCCGUCCUUUGAAGUUCUAUGGCACCCUCUAUGGCCUUAACACUAUUUUCAAGCUGUUUUUGUAUGCGUAACUACAAAAGUUGUAAACUAUUCAAGGGCAAAAUCUGCCUGAUUACCUCUUUUAUCCCCCUUAGAUAAUCCAGCUCUGUGACAAAGUCCUAAUAGCUAUUCAAUAAAUAUUUUCUGAUUUCCAAACCUGCCUAACCAGCCACUUCAGGACGUGAAUGAAGCCUCCAGGGACGUCCCGCUGCUGACUCCUUCUCUCACAGCUCCCAUACUUUUCUCUUAAAGUACUUAACACAGGUUGUGAUCACAUAUUGGUUGUAUGGUUGUUUGUGUAACGCCAACCUCCUCAGUGUACUGUAGGGGCCAAGAGGACAGGGAGUUUGUGUGUCCUGCUCACAGCUAUGUACUUAAGAUCCAUCCCAGUUCCUGGCAGUGUUCAACGUCUGCUGAUUGGACAGAUGUCAGAUGGAUAGACAGACAGAAGGAUAAAGGAAGAAAGAAAAAAUGAUCUCAAAGUGAAGUCUAAAGAAAGCAGAGAUUGAAGGGCAUGACCAAACACAAACGCUAACGUGUGAGUAGCUCUGUCUCUGCUGCUGACCGAGAGCCAGGGAGGUUACCCCGCAUCUCACAAGUGGUACAGAAACAUCAUGCAUACCGUCUCCUUCAAGAAUUCAACAGAACUGACAGAGACCCAGGGACUGCCCUUGCAGCAAAAGAUCAGUCAAAUUCACAGCACUGUGAAUCAACUAUACUUUGAUUUUUUAAAAAAUCAAUAAAAUUGAGAUAUAAAAAGUG
Molecule: long non-coding RNA, 3493 nt
Organism: Camelus dromedarius (Arabian camel)
Lineage: Eukaryota; Metazoa; Chordata; Mammalia; Artiodactyla; Camelidae
Exons: 5
Source: RefSeq, a predicted model, not a curated record